AGGGGGAACUGACCUGCCUCACAUGACAACCACACCAGCUCCCACCUUCCUAAGCAGCGCAGAGCCAGGUACCAGUGCUGGGGGCAGGUAUUCGACAUCAACUCUCCCAGAAACAGGGGAAACCAACCAGACUCAUCCAGGAACAACUCCGACUUCGACCCACCCAGGCAGGGUGGGACCAGGGGAAACCAACCAGACUCAUCCAGGAACGACUCCGGCUUUGACCCACCCAGGCAGCGUGGGACCAGGUACCGGGGCUGGGGGCAGGAAAUCGCCAUCAACCACCGCAAAAACAGGUUUGUGCAGCCCAAGAAGCUGCCCCCGGGGUAACCAUGAAGUCAAGGGCCAGGUUGCUUGGGACAGGAGCAGAUCCCCAAGCAAAUGUCCCAUCUGGGCUGAGACUCCCGCCGCCCCCCCCGGACUCAUUUCAUAGGCUGGGGGGCGGUCACUGGACAGAUGCCAGAUUGGCUUGGCAGGGGCAGGGCCUGGGAGAUCUUCCCCCCAACGCACAGCCCCACCCCGUCGGCCCCACAGACCAGGGUGCUGUGCUGCCCACUGGCACCACAAAGCAACCCAUGUGGGGCACAGCUCAGUGCAUAUCCCCCCGGGAGAACGGGGACGGAGAGCUGGGGUAAGGGCCCUGUGUAUCCCCUCUGUCUGCCUGAGUCUGCAGACAGCCCAGGGGAAUGGCUCAGAAGCAGGGCUCCCCCUUCACAGGGAUGCUGCCCAGUGGGGCGUUAAUACUGGAAGCUACUGAGUUAACUCUGGAACCUACCAAUUCAACGUGACACCGUUAACUCUGGAACCAAAUGAUGGCCACCUGAUGGCACCACCGUUUUGUCUUCCGCUGCUGAUCGCUUCAAUGGGGUGUGGUUCUCCCAACGAUCUCAAAGUGCCCUGCCCAGCCAGAAGCCCCACCCCCACUGCCAUGCCCGCCCCCCGAGAUGAUUCCUACACAGACAUGAGCUGAAGCUGCUGGGAAAUUCCCAGGGCAAGGCAGGACCUGGGGGGGCUGGGCUGCGGGAUCUGGCCCCAGCUGCCUUCACAGGGUACAUGGGGCCUGAGGUACAUCCCCCCCCCCAGGAUAGGCCUCUGCCAUUGGCAGUGAACCCCCCUGACCACUAUUACCCAGAAUCCCCUCUGCUCCUGCCGCCCCCAGCCCCAUAGCAUGUUCUGCUCUGGGUCCCUAGGUCCUCGAGGGGGAGGGGCUGGGGCAGCAGGUAAUGAACCAGCCACUCACGGCUCUCACCGCCUGGUGCUGCUUCCCAGGGAUAUUGGAACUGUGGAGGAAAAAGUUUGCUAGGGCCUAAACUUUAGUUGGUUCAGACCUGAACAUUAGUUAAGUCUAUUGUAGGUGAAAGGUUUUUAGAGGCAGAAUAGAGGAAAAGUACAAAAGCAAAAUAUCUAUAAUUAUAAGGCCUAUGAUUCAUAGUGCUGCAUUGAUGGUUUUGGGAAGUCUGGAAAUCGCAGUAGGAUAGACUGUGAAAAACAGGAAAGCUUGCUAAGCUAUAUUCCUUUUAUGGAGAGUGUAUUCCAAAUAUGGCAAUAAUGCUGAUAAGAAAGUAUGUAUUAUAUAAUUGUGGUUUUAUGCUAUAUAAGCUGUGUAAAAUUCUGUAAUCAGGGGGAUUGCUAGUUUACUGGUACCCCCCAUGCAUGCAUGAAAAUAAAAAGGCCUCAGGCGAUUCUGAUCCAAACACAACGCGUGGUCAUUUUUCCACAACAGAACCAAGUGCAGCACCGGGUCUGACCCGCACCAUCAUCGCCGGGGUGAGCGCGGUGGCCGCCGGCCUCUUCCUCCUCCUCCUGAUCUUCC
Non-coding RNA from Chrysemys picta bellii (western painted turtle), 1813 nucleotides. The record is from RefSeq and is a predicted model, not a curated record. Lineage: Eukaryota; Metazoa; Chordata; Testudines; Emydidae.